RNAcentral lists this ribosomal RNA (253 nucleotides) under uncultured bacterium. RNAcentral describes it as "partial 16S ribosomal RNA". It matches the Rfam family "Bacterial small subunit ribosomal RNA", at positions 524 to 776 of the family's 1533-position model. The record is from RNAcentral.
UACGGAGGUGGCUAGCGUUGCUCGGAUUCAUUGGGUGUAAAGGGCAAGUAGGCGGCUCAAUAAGUCAGAUGUGAAAUCCCCGGGCUCAACCUGGGACACGCAUCUGAGACUGCUGAGCUUGAGGACGGAAGAGGAGAGCGGAAUACCCGGUGUAAGGGUGAAAUCUGUAGAUAUCGGGUAGAACACCAGUGGCGAAGGCGGCUCUCUGGUCCGAACCUGACGCUGAGAGGCGAAAGCCGGGGGAGCAAACAGG